AUUGAACGCUGGCGGCAUGCCUUACACAUGCAAGUCGAACGGCAGCACGGGAGCAAUCCUGGUGGCGAGUGGCGAACGGGUGAGUAAUAUAUCAGAACGUGCCCAGUCGUGGGGGAUAACGCAGCGAAAGCUGUGCUAAUACCGCAUACGAUCUACGGAUGAAAGCGGGGGAUCGCAAGACCUCGCGCGAUUGGAGCGGCCGAUAUCAGAUUAGCUAGUUGGUGAGGUAAAGGCUCACCAAGGCGACGAUCUGUAGCUGGUCUGAGAGGACGACCAGCCACACUGGAACUGAGACACGGUCCAGACACCUACGGGAGGCAGCAGUGGGGAAUUUUGGACAAUGGGCGAAAGCCUGAUCCAGCAAUGCCGCGUGCAGGAUGAAGGCCUUCGGGUUGCAAACUGCUUUUGUACGGAACGAAACGGUGAGCUCUAAUACAGUUUGCUAAUGACGGUACCGUAAGAAUAAGCACCGGCUAACUACGUGCCAGCCGCCGCCGUAA
RNAcentral lists this ribosomal RNA (500 nucleotides) under uncultured bacterium. Its description in RNAcentral is "partial 16S ribosomal RNA". It matches the Rfam family "Bacterial small subunit ribosomal RNA", at positions 30 to 523 of the family's 1533-position model. The record is from RNAcentral.